RNAcentral lists this ribosomal RNA (405 nucleotides) under uncultured bacterium. RNAcentral describes it as "partial 16S ribosomal RNA". It matches the Rfam family "Bacterial small subunit ribosomal RNA", at positions 28 to 526 of the family's 1533-position model. The record is from RNAcentral.
GACGAACGCUGGCGGCGUGCUUAACACAUGCAAGUCGAGCGGAGCGGCGAACGGGUGAGUAACGCGUGAGUAACUGCCCCCCUCUCUGGGAUAACAGUUGGCAACGGCUGCUAAUACCGGAUAGGGGGUGAUGACUCGGGUCCUAUCAGCUUGUCGGUGGGGUAGUGGCAUACCAAGGCGACGACGGGUAGCCGGCCUGGGAGGGCGACCGGCCACAUGGGGCUGAGGUACGGCCCAAACUCCUACGGGAGGCAGCAGUGGGGAAUAUUGCACAAUGGGGGAAACCCUGUUGCAGCAACGCCGCGGGCGGGAUGACGGCCUUCGGGUUGUAAACCGCUUUCAGCCAUUACGCGGUAGUGGCAGAAGAAGCACCGGCUAACUACGUGCCAGCAGCCGCGGUAAUUC